Molecule: ribosomal RNA, 559 nt
Filed under: Pichia kluyveri
Lineage: Eukaryota; Fungi; Ascomycota; Pichiomycetes; Pichiales; Pichiaceae
Description: partial 26S ribosomal RNA
Rfam family: Eukaryotic large subunit ribosomal RNA
Source: RNAcentral
ACAACGGGGGAUUGCCUCAGUAGCGGCGAGUGAAGCGGCAAGAGCUCAGAUUUGAAAUCUCACCUAGUGUGCGAGUUGUAAAUUGCAGGUUGGAGUCUCGAGCCCCGUAGCGUGCAUGUCGACACCUGUGAGGCCCUUCUGACGAGUCGAGUUGUUUGGGAAUGCAGCUCUAAGUGGGUGGUAAAUUCCAUCUAAGGCUAAAUAUUGGCGAGAGACCGAUAGCGAACAAGUACUGUGAAGGAAAGAUGAAAAGCACUUUGAAAAGAGAGUGAAACAGCACGUGAAAUUGUUGAAAGGGAAGGGUAUUGGGCUCGACAUGGGAUUUACGCAUCGUUGCCUCUUGUGGGCGGCGCUCUGGGUUUUUCCUGGGCCAGCAUCGGUUUUCGUUGCAGGAUAAGGACAAUUGGAAUGUGGCUCCUCGGAGUGUUAUAGCCUUUUGUAGAUGCUGCGUAUGGGGACCGAGGGCUGCGGCGGACUUGUUUCGUCUCGGAUGCUGGCACAACGGCGCAAUACCGCCGCUGAAAAAAAGAAAAAAAAAAAAGGGGACGGAAACCCGGAC